Molecule: ribosomal RNA, 109 nt
Filed under: Erinaceus europaeus (western European hedgehog)
Lineage: Eukaryota; Metazoa; Chordata; Mammalia; Eulipotyphla; Erinaceidae
Source: RNAcentral
GUCUACGGCCAUACCACCCUGAACAUGCCCGAUCUCAGAAACUAAGCAGGGUCGGGCCUGGUUAGUACUUGGAUGGGAGACAAUUGAACAACAACAACAACAAAAGAUA